ACGCUGGCGGCGUGCCUAAUACAUGCAAGUCGAGCGAAGUUUUUCUGGUGCUUGCACCGGAAAAACUUAGCGGCGAACGGGUGAGUAACACGCAAAGAACCUGCCUCAUAGACUGGGACAACUAUUGGAAACGAUAGCUAAUACCGGAUAACAGCAUUAACUGCAUGGUUGAUGUUUAAAAGUUGGUUUUGCUAACACUAUGAGAUGGCUUUGCGGUGCAUUAGCUAGUUGGUGGGGUAAAGGCCUACCAAGGCGACGAUGCAUAGCCGACCUGAGAGGGUGAUCGGCCACACUGGGACUGAGACACGGCCCAGACUCCUACGGGAGGCAGCAGUAGGGAAUCUUCCGCAAUGGGCGAAAGCCUGACGGAGCAACGCCGCGUGAGUGAAGAAGGAUUUCGGUUCGUAAAGCUCUGUUGUUAGGGAAGAAUGAUUGUGUAGUAACUAUACACAGUAGAGACGGUACCUAACCAGAAAGCCACGGCUAACUACGUGCCAGCAGCCGCGGUAAUACGUAGGUGGCAAGCGUUGUCCGGAAUUAUUGGGCGUAAAGCGCGCGCAGGUGGUUUAAUAAGUCUGAUGUGAAAGCCCACGGCUCAACCGUGGAGGGUCAUUGGAAACUGUUAAACUUGAGUGCAGGAGAGAAAAGUGGAAUUCCUAGUGUAGCGGUGAAAUGCGUAGAGAUUAGGAGGAACACCAGUGGCGAAGGCGGCUUUUUGGCCUGUAACUGACACUGAGGCGCGAAAGCGUGGGGAGCAAACAGGAUUAGAUACCCUGGUAGUCCACGCCGUAAACGAUGAGUGCUAAGUGUUGGUCUCAUAAGAGAUCAGUGCUGCAGCUAACGCAUUAAGCACUCCGCCUGGGGAGUACGACCGCAAGGUUGAAACUCAAAGGAAUUGACGGGGACCCGC
This 910-nucleotide ribosomal RNA is filed under the name uncultured bacterium. RNAcentral describes it as "bacterial SSU rRNA". It matches the Rfam family "Bacterial small subunit ribosomal RNA", at positions 33 to 924 of the family's 1533-position model. The record is from RNAcentral.